This 68-nucleotide transfer RNA is filed under the name Lamellomphalus manusensis. Its description in RNAcentral is "tRNA-Tyr". It matches the Rfam family "tRNA". Rfam says of the family: Transfer RNA (tRNA) molecules are approximately 80 nucleotides in length. The record is from RNAcentral. Lineage: Eukaryota; Metazoa; Mollusca; Gastropoda; Neomphalida; Neomphalidae.
UGCGAGAUGGCUGAGGUUAAAGGCGGAAGACUGUAGAUUUUUUUACGAAGUUAAUUCUUCUCUUGCAA